UCAAAAAUAAAAAAGAUGUAUUCAUUUGUUGACACAAGUGAAACAAAAAAUAAGAGAAAUAACUAGAGGAAGAGAAUUGUCUGUUUCCAGGAGAGUCCUCUUUGAAUCUGGUGCAUGUGUAAGAAUUGGGAGUAAAAGCUAAGGAGAGUUGGGGUUUGUGUAUGGUAUAAAUAGAGAGCGACAAGUAUGGCGGACGGUUAUUUGGGACCCUCUCCACUUCUUAAGCCCUCUUCUUUAUAUACCUUUCCUUUCACUUUUUCCCCAUUUUCAGGUUCCCCCAGAUCUCUUUCUUUCUCCUUCAUGGCCUCUAAUUGCUCUUCUGCUCGUCACUGUAGUUGCUCCUCUACUAGUUCCUCCACUACUCAUCAACCUUCUAUUCUUGUUUUCUCAGGUGGAACUGCAUUUAAUGGUGUGGUUGAAGAGCUUAAGAAUCUAACUACACGUGUAGCUCAUGUGCUCCCUGUUUCUGAUGACGGAGGAAGUACAGCCGAAAUUGUUCGUGUUCUUGGUGGUCCUGCUGUUGGAGAUAUACGAUCAAGAUGUUUGAGAUUAUCCGGCCAAAGCACGUCAGAGGCUCGUGCAGUCCGAAUAUUGCUUGGUCAUCGUUUACCUCUUGAUGCACGAAGAGCCAAAUCAGAAUGGUAUGAAAUUGUGGAGGGCAGCCAUGAACUUUGGCAAGAUGUCUCAAAACCGUAUAGGGAAACUAUAAGAGCUUUCUUGGCUUACUUCCAGGAUCAGAUUCUCCGGCGUUCAGAUGAGCAUUUCUGUUUCAGCAAUGGAAGUAUAGGGAACUUUUUCUUCGCUGGAGCACGCAUAUUCUUCCAAUCUCUAGAUGCAGCAAUCUUUUUGUUUUCACGGGUUUCAGAAAUUCCAGCAGAAAGUUUUGUUCUUCCCGUGAUAUCUACAAAUGAAAGGCUUACCCUGGGAUGUGAGUUAUCGGAUGGAACUGUCAUACGCGGACAAAAUGAAAUAUCUCAUCCAACCCAUGGAUCCAUGCAACCUAUAGACAAGGAUGCCUCUUCAGCCCCAGCACUUCCUUCUAGAAUAAAACGGAUAUUCUACAUGUCCAGUGAAGGAAGCAACUUAUUGCAUGAGGUCUUCCCCACUGUGAAUCCCACUGUCUUGGAACAGUUGAGAAGUGUUGACUGUAUCGUAUUUGGCAUGGGAUCCCUCUUUACUUCCAUCUGCCCUUCUCUGGUUUUACUUGGAGUGGGGGAAACCAUCUCUUCACAGUCUUGUCCCAAGGUACUUCUGUUGAAUGGUACUCAUGAUCGAGAAACUUGUGGCCUUAGUGCUUCUUGCUUUGUGACUGCCAUUACCGAUGCCUUAAAUCGAACUUAUGGAGAUCCUCAUAAUUGUCUUAAAAAUCCUCCAAACAAAUAUAUCAACACCCUUUUGGUGCCGAAAAACGGAUUAAUACCUAUGGAUAAAGAAAGCCUGGCUUCUCAAGGAAUUUUCAAUGUGGUCACGGUGGAUUCCUUUCCUGAUCCAAAAUUGGGUGUGCUUUUUGAUCCCAAAUCAUUGAUUCAAGCACUUUCCAAUCUGUUGACGGAUGCAUGAACCUGAAUUCUACUAUGAUUUGUUAAACCUUAAUUUAUCAGAAAUUUUGGAGCUUGUGGCACAGUAGUUUUCGCAACGGAUCUGAAGAGAAACGGGCUGUUUGUGAGAACUUGUAGAUCGAUAACAAUUCAAAGACCUCUGCAUUGAUUUCAACUCCAUGAAGUCCGAAGGAAGAGGGUAAGGCUUCCAUAGUUUCACGUUGGCAUUGGCUUAGAUCUUAUUCAGCUCUUACUGGGAAAGAAUAUCAUUGUUCACAAUUGAGCUGAAACAAAUCUGAUGUUUCGUAUUUGGGCACGUACAGAUCAAUGAAAUUUUUUCCAACCUCAGUUUGUUUGGAAUUGAAGCGUAAUGGCUGUUGUACAUAAUAAAAUUUCUUUUCAUCAA
Molecule: non-coding RNA, 1944 nt
Organism: Solanum lycopersicum (tomato)
Lineage: Eukaryota; Viridiplantae; Streptophyta; Magnoliopsida; Solanales; Solanaceae
Source: RefSeq, a predicted model, not a curated record